RNAcentral lists this ribosomal RNA (593 nucleotides) under Microbacterium sp. Its description in RNAcentral is "bacterial SSU rRNA". It matches the Rfam family "Bacterial small subunit ribosomal RNA", at positions 282 to 885 of the family's 1533-position model. Lineage: Bacteria; Bacillati; Actinomycetota; Actinomycetes; Micrococcales; Microbacteriaceae. The record is from RNAcentral.
GGUAGCCGGCCUGAGAGGGUGACCGGCCACACUGGGACUGAGACACGGUCCAGACUCCUACGGGAGGCAGCAGUGGGGAAUAUUGCACAAUGGGCGCAAGCCUGAUGCAGCAACGCCGCGUGAGGGACGACGGCCUUCGGGUUGUAAACCUCUUUUAGCAGGGAAGAAGCGAAAGUGACGGUACCUGCAGAAAAAGCGCCGGCUAACUACGUGCCAGCAGCCGCGGUAAUACGUAGGGCGCAAGCGUUAUCCGGAAUUAUUGGGCGUAAAGAGCUCGUAGGCGGUUUGUCACGUCUGCUGUGAAAUCCCGAGGCUCAACCUCGGGCCUGCAGUGGGUACGGGCAGACUAGAGUGCGGUAGGGGAGAUUGGAAUUCCUGGUGUAGCGGUGGAAUGCGCAGAUAUCAGGAGGAACACCGAUGGCGAAGGCAGAUCUCUGGGCCGUAACUGACGCUGAGGAGCGAAAGGGUGGGGAGCAAACAGGCUUAGAUACCCUGGUAGUCCACCCCGUAAACGUUGGGAACUAGUUGUGGGGACCAUUCCACGGUCUCCGUGACGCAGCUAACGCAUUAAGUUCCCCGCCUGGGGAGUACGG